Ictalurus punctatus (channel catfish) is the source of this 4254-nucleotide long non-coding RNA. The record is from Ensembl. Lineage: Eukaryota; Metazoa; Chordata; Actinopteri; Siluriformes; Ictaluridae.
CCUGUCUUUGUCCUCUGCAUUAACGGCAGGUCUCAAAGAUUAGCUAAUCAUUAUAAUGAUAGCCUUAUUAAGUACAAUUACAGAGGCGGAACAGUAGUUAAUGUAUAUUGGCUCACAGUGGGGCCAGGAAGGCUGAGACUCCUGUAAAAAAGCCACUCAUGCAGACACAUUCAAAAAAGAGUGACACUUUAGCUGAUGAUGUCACCAAGGCAAACAAUACAGCGGGAUGAAAUGAAGCUUGUGUUCCAGACAAUGUUGGCCUGUAUCCAUGGCAAAUCACAAGUGGCUUUAACUUUCCCAGACGUGAACAGCAAAGCUGGAAGUCACACAAGCUUACUGACAUCCAGACACAAGACAAAUGAACAGAUGAAUAAAUAAACAUAUGAAGCAAGUGGGAUUAAACACUAAAGUCUACAUUUUUUUUGGAUGGACAGAUCACAGACGUACAGACAUGCAUGGCUGAAACAAAAUACAAAGAGACUCAAUAAAAUGAGCUUGGAUCCUCAUCAACAGCCGGAAUACUUUACAGAGGCCUUCUGCCCAAACUCCCUCCCUCCUCUUCCCAGCUCUCCUCUCUUCCCCUCCCUCUCUUCCUGCUCUUAUCCCCUCAGAGAUAGUGAGAGCCGUCAGAUGUGGUUUGUCCUGACGGCUGACGGAUCGGCCAAAGACACUCGUCUCUGGGCACUCCUCUAUAUAUUGUUAAUUUAAUGCAUGAUGACGUGGCCAAUUAUGGAGUGGCCGCACGCUCAAAUAGCAUGUCAAAACCUGUGUAUCAAUCUAUUAGAUCCUGUCUCCUCAUGGCAUUAGCAGGCACCUUAAAGCAGCUCUGGGGUUCACCGAGGGAGAGAAAGUGCUUAGCUCAUGGGGAUCCUGCCUCAGAUCUCAUCCAGGCCUUUUAGAGAAUAAAAAAAUACAUCCACUAACAAGAACGGCGUGCAGGGCUGUGGCAAGCAGAUGGGUCAUGUGACCUGGCAGAUGGCACAGAAGAGUGGCGCUUAUCUUACACAGGGUCACAGGGAGCCUAGAGUCUAUCCAAGGCCACAAGGCGUGGGACACCCUGGAUGGGGUGCCAACCCAAAGCACAAUCACACACAUUCACCUGCAAUGGACAAUUUGGAAAUGCCAGUCAGCCUACAGCACAUGUCUUUGAUCUGGGAGAGGAAACUGGAGUACCCAGAAGAAACCCUUGAAGCACAGGGACAACAUGCAAACUCUGCCCACACAGGGUGGAGCCGGGAUUCAAAUAUAUACAAAUAUGUAUGCUUUGAUGCAUAAGAAUUCCAGACAUUUUUCCUAUAACUUAAUUUGUUACCUAAGACCAUCCACUUAGCAAGGUUAUUGUACCUAUGCACUUAAAAUUAUUAUUUAUUAAAUGGUACUGAAUGGAACACUGUAUUUUCUACUUUUUCACUCCUUCUGUAAAAUAACUGUUUAUGGUAUGUCAUGAAAUAAGUUCCAUGAUUUGGACUAUGACUUAGUAACCAGCAAUGUUUAGCCAAAGAGCCCGUGUGCUAAGCUAGCUAGUUACAUAUUUCGAUUACAACAAUCGAUAUUUCGAUUGUUAUGAUAUGUUUUGACACAGCUGGCUAUUUAGACAUGGAAAUCCAACAAACUAGUUUGCUGGUAGUUACCUAGCUGGCUAAGUAACUUAGAUAUCGCUAAUGCUGACCAAAAUCUUUGACAUUAUGGUACGUUUUGUCAGGAGUUUAAGUUUCUACUCUUAUAUAGAGACUCUGAUGAAAUCUUAUUUGUGUCUACCUGUGACAAAUGCUGGCUAGUUUACCAGCAGUUAACUAGCUGGUUCAUUAUUUUGCACAGCAGGAAAACAAAAGGGCAUUUCCAAUUUGUACAUUCAUGUAUGUUUAAUGUAUAUUUGUAGAUUGCAAUGAGAGGGAAGAGUACAGAUAUGCUCCUCGACCAUUUUAAGUAAACAAUAGAUUAUAAUUUAUUUUAAUGGUUUAAAAUGACAUGUUGUGGGGUACUUUAAGGAUUUUCCUCCAGUACUUAUUAUAGCUUUUUGUUAGAGUUCACAUAGAAAAGGGGUUUAAAUCUUAAAGCAAAGAUAGCCUAACAAUGACUGAUUAUUGCACUAACAACCCACAGGCUCCAGGGGAUGUCUGUAAUGCGAUUUCACCACACUACCAUCUAUCCUGGCCAAUAGACAACUGACCCCACAUUGCCCUGGGGUCACACUGAGUUCAAGGGGUGGUUCAGCACAAGCCUUAGGUAACCAACACAUAUACACAUAACUUUCACUCCAAUUUUGGCUUACAUUUUCUCACUCACUCAAUCACACAUGUAAGGAUGUGUAAUGACUGCUUGUCUUUCACGCUCUCUAAAUUCCAUGCAUUGAAUGGUCUCUUUUCUUCAUUCAACUCAAAAGCUCCGGCAUGAAGUCCGUCAAGCAACUCGAGAAGCAUGUCGAAACGCUGGCCUGUUGAUCAAAGGCCGCUUCUCGUUCUCCUAUUCAUAUGUGACAGAGACUGAUGUGGUAAAUAACAAUAUUAAUUUAAUCCACUGAGGCACCAGACGUGCAUUAGCUACUCUUACGUAUAUGCGGAACAAAAGUGUCGGGACUGAUGGAUGGACAGCAAGCAUGGCAGGACGUAGCUGGCUCCAUGCAUGUGCACCCACUGAAACCAGAGACAAGUGAGGGAGAUGGAAGAGUGGAAAGUGUGUGUGUUAGAGAGAGAGAGAGAGAGAGAGAGAGAGAGUCAGUGAAAGGCAGUGCUUUAGAGGGAUAUAGUGUGUGUUGAAUAAUGAGCGCUGUGCUCCCAGAACAAUCACACUCUCCAUUUUGCACUGUGUUUUCACCUGAUGUAUUGUCUCUGUUGAGGGAGGCCAUGUAAUAAGACCAUUUGGGCCCCUCAUUUGUGCGCAUUAGAGGCAAAUAUCUUACAGUGCCCUUAAAAGUGCCUGGAGGCCUGGAGAAACAGUGAUCCGGACUCACAAUUGCAGCAGGUAACGUUAGGAGAAUGCCAAGCCCCUUUACUCACUAAGUAGUCUGUAAAGAAAAGCACUGCCAUGCCGCUAGUCAAGAGAAAGAAUUAUGCAACUACUGCAUUAGCAUUUAUAUUUCCCUUUAUUCAUUUGGCACACACAUUUAUCCAUAGUGACUCAAAUCCAAGCCUGUAGAUAGAACUGUCGAGAGUCAAAAGUCUUUUGUGGUCUUGCUAUCUGAAAUAUACAAACUUCCAAUCACUACAAUAUUACUUUUUUUAUUUAUUUAUUUAUUUUUUUUUAAAAAUCUACCCUUUCUGUCAUGUUUGUGUGAUACAAUGGACAAUAAAUACAGCUUAUAAAAAAAGAAUGGAAAACCUUUUGGUUACAAACUCACUUAUAAUGAAAGUUUUUAGAGCAGUCAACUGGUCAGAACGUGUUGAUUUAUUUUCUAUAAUAGCAGGCCCGACCGUUAAUAUUAAUUAAUAUUAAUUAAUGGUCUUUUCUUGAGUAUGUUCCACAACAUAAACUGUAACAAUAAAUGGACAAAAAAGAAUAUUGUUACAUUCCUUAAUAAAUAAAUAAAUAAACAUUAAUCAUUAAAUAAACAAUAAACAUUAAACAAUCAACUUCAAGGUAGGAAACAGAGCUCAGCUCGUGAUUGAUUUCUUUCCUAUAACAUUAUAUCCCAUCAUGUUUUAACUCCUUACAUAAUUUAUUCUUUAGUGAUAGUCAUUUUUCAGAUGGAGGAACUUGUGUUUGUUUUAUCGAUGUAAUAUGUUUCAGUAUGAUUGUGCUCUCAUACAAAAAAAAAAAAAGUUAAUGUAAGUAACCAUAAUUACUUUUUAUUGUACUUCUCCUGUGUUCAAAAGUUGGAUAAAACUCAUCAACAGCCUCAGUAAGUCAUUCACUCAUUUCUUUCUCACAAAGUGCUUUUCUAAGUACAAGAAAAUUUGUCCCAAUUCAUGUUUGCAGUACUCACCAGAGAUUAGCUUGAAAAGCACUGGAGUGUUCCUUUAACCACUGAGCCACCUCUGCACACAUUUAGCUUUAACCACUGAACUACCACUGCACACAAAAGACAUUAGAGUUGAUUAAGGUAAUUUUACAAAACAAUGAAUCUUUUCAGCAUUAAUCCAGUUGAUUGAGGAUAUGUGAGGAAAGUAUUUCUUUUUUACUAUUGGAACAAGCAUUUUUGUAUUGAAAACAAAAAGUCUACAUUUAUCUAUGCAAAUAAUUCUUUAUCUAUUUAAAUAUGCAUGCAUUUGCAUUUUUUUUUUUUUUUUUACUGUGAAAACACUUUUUAGAGGGAGG